This is a non-coding RNA of Fundulus heteroclitus (mummichog), 439 nucleotides long. The record is from the annotation of a RefSeq genome assembly. NCBI's taxonomy places the organism in Eukaryota, Metazoa, Chordata, Actinopteri, Cyprinodontiformes, Fundulidae.
GUUUGGUGGAGGAACCAGACUGGAGGUUGGAAGUGAUGCCCGUCCCACCCUGACAGUGCUGCCCCCCUCCAGUGAGGAGCUGCAGCAGGGGAAGGCCACCCUCAUGUGUCUGGCCAACAAGGGCUUCCCCUCAGACUGGAGUCUGUCCUGGACGCUGGACGGCAGCAGCAGCUUCACCUGGGAAGAAAACAAGAGCCGAGUGGUGCUGCAGAAGGACGGCCUCUACAGCUGGAGCAGCACCCUGAGGCUCCCUGCAGACCAGUGGAGGAAGGUGGGCUCUGUGACCUGUGAGGCCUCCAAGGGCUCCCAGCCUGCAGUCACACAGACGCUGACCAGAGACCAGUGUUCCCAGUCCUGAGCUCAUUCACUGGCAGUUUGCUGGUCUUUUCCUGCUACUGCUCUGUUUUUGCUCUUCAAUCGUUUCUCUCAGUGUUUCUUC